GUUUGGGGUUCCUUAUUUUGAAGAAAAAAGUCCUUUUACAUGCCCAAAAGUCCUUUUUUUGGGUGUUUGCCUUUCCUUUUUUAGCCCAAAAGUCCUUUUCCAAAGGCAAAAGUCAUGUUUUCCUGACUUUUUGUUUCCAAAAGGACUUUUCCAAAAAUUGAAAAUAAGUUAAGCCAAACAUGCCCACUAUCUGAACUUUAAGCUACAAUGGUUAUCAACGACGUCUAGCUUUCUUUUCAAUUUCAUCAUCGACCUGGGUUUAGGGUUUCAAAUAGAGGAUUUCGAUGGAUCUGAAACCCUAAUUCACCAUCCAAAAUGUCUCAAACUGGAAAAUUAAUGCCCAAUCUAGACCAAAACAGCACGAAGAUCCUCAAUCUCACCGUCCCCCAGAGGAUGGACCCGUACAUCAAGGAGAUCUUAAUCACCGUUGCUCAUGUCACCUUCUACGAGUUCAACGUCGACCUCAAUCAUUGGCAAGAUUGUAAUGGUCUGCAAACUGAUUUCAACAAUUAAACCACAAGACAAAGCGGAGCCUCUUGAUGUAAGUCCUGACUAGCCCAACUUUCGAAAGUUAUGAUGAGAGACACAAACUGAGUCACACAUACUGAAAUUUUGGAGAAAAAUACAUAAGAAAAACAUGUCCAACAGGCAACAGUGAUGGAGAAUUGAAGUCUUUAGUAAAAUCCAUACAAUUUUAAGAAGAUUGAAACGUCGAACUUGAUUAUCAAGGAGCUCGCUAAGGAAAAUAAUGAAGAAAAAGAAAUGUAAAAUGAAAUUGUUGGCUGAAAAAGAUAAAGUGGAUGAAGAUGUUAUGCUCAAUAGGAUGUCAUAAAUUGAAGCCAUGUUAAAGUUUCGAUUCGAAGAUAACGAUAAUUUCGAUUAUUUGAUAUUUUAGUUUGUAUUUUUGUUUUAAUGUUUUAUGACUUUGAAAUAGGAAAAACUGAAACAGAAGUUUAUGAUUUUGUAAUUUUAUGGAAUGUUUUAUAUAAAUUUGUAAUUUUAUUGAAA
Long non-coding RNA from Helianthus annuus (common sunflower), 1008 nucleotides. RefSeq lists it as uncharacterized. The transcript has 4 exons. The record is from RefSeq and is a predicted model, not a curated record. NCBI's taxonomy places the organism in Eukaryota, Viridiplantae, Streptophyta, Magnoliopsida, Asterales, Asteraceae.